AAUGCAUGCGGUUACUUUAUUAAAACAUCAUUAAAAAGUUCGCAAUCCAGUACAAGCUUACGAAGAAGCUUCAAAAAUAACAAAAGAAACUACAACCGGCGUAAAAUAGGACCAGAAGCUAUCCACCUAUUCUAUUAUUAGACCGUCAUCCAAACGGAUUGUAGAUAUCUCAAGUUAUCAUCUUCCAUCUAAUAGAUCCAAUAGCCAAAAGCUCUCUAUUCUCCACAAACAGGAGGCGGAAUAAUCGCGGUGACAUUGAUGGUGAAUGACAUUGAUGCUGAACCUGAUUAUAUAACAUGGUGAAUCAAGCAAAAACAGACUAAUUCUUCUUCCUUCCUUCCUUCGUCCAUCCACGCCCAAGGUAGCCAGCCAUGAGGAAGGCACUAGCAGCAGCCACCGCCAAGCCCAAGCCCAAGCCUAGGGCCAGGGGUAAGGCGAAGGCCAGCAACCCUGACUCCAUCUCCGGCGCCUCCUCGGCGUCCAGCGCCAGCAACGGGUUUCCUCUCCCGUCGCACGCGGACGCGGCCUUCUCUCGGCCUCCAAGCCCAAGCCCAGGGACAGGGCGAAGGCCAAGCCCAGGGACAGGGCGAAGGCCAAGACCAAGGGAAAGGCGAAGGCCAGCCCCGACUCCCUCUCCGGCGCCACGUUGACGUCCGCCAGCGCCGGGUCUCCUUCUCCCUCUCCCUUUGCAGUCGGUCGAGGCGGCUUCCUCUCGCCCUCCUCGCUGGUGACGCGAAGACCAUAUCCACCCUCACCGCGGGGGGCAUGUCCACGCCGGCCUCCAUUUCCACCGUCGGCGACCUCAGGGGCCUCGCCACCUUGAGCCUGACUCGCUCAGGAGCCGCCUUGAGCCUGACCCGCUCAGGAGCCGCCUCGACAUGCUCCAAGCCUAUAACGCCCGUGAACUCGAGGCCUCCCUCUUCCGGAUCUCCAAGCGCAUCAAGAUGCAGUCGCAGAGCUGCCUGCAGAUGGUGGACAACGGAGAAGGAGCAUAAAAAUAUGGUCGACAAGGUCUCCCGGUAAGACGAGGACAUAAAGGUAACACUUCUCCUUCUGGUUCGAUACCAUCCAUGUUUGAUCGAGCGUAUCUGAAUUUUGUGUGGAUUUGGACCAUGAAAUUGUGAUCCUACUGUCGUUAUGGAUUCCAUUGCAAGGCAUCGUACAAGAAAUUGGUGACAUAGGUGCAGUCGUCUUUGUCUCGUGGUAUUGCAGUGAUCGAACACAGACAUCUAUAUUCUGAAUUUUACCUCACUUUAGUCUUCAGUUCAAGCCACUAUGGCAGUAGUGUAUCUUUUAAUACUGAUUUGGUUCACAAUGGUCAGUGUGCAAGGUGACCUUACCUGAGAUGGCAAAGUCCAUGGCCAGAGCUAUCGAUGGUCUGCGCAGUUGCUACAACAUCCUAGCUAGAACAGCUUAGCAUACAGUUUCUACUACGUCUAUGAAUUGGUAAUCACUUCUCCUGUUUUGAAGUUGACAUAUGUGUUUGGUCAUGUUCAGUAAAUUUGCAUGAACAUAUGAGUGCCUGUUCAUGAAAUUGAAUUGGCAGAUGUAGUAUCUACCAGGGACAAUAAUUGUUGGUUACAUGUUACCAAAGUGUUGUGGUAACCUCACCGUCAAUCCCUACCUCACCUCUUCCUGCCCUCCCUGCCUCGCUGUGGAUCUUCCGUAUCUCCUGCUGUCGACGCACCCUAUCUUUUCUCCGCCCGAUAGGUACUGGAAUAGUGGAGUUGUACCACUUGCAAGGUAGUUCUGGAUAGAGUUUAUCCAUGGGAAACGCUUCCCAACAGACGUCUGAUACGAAACAUUCUUUAGACUAGCUGGACGCCGUUGAUUUCCUGUUUUGGUCCUAGGGCUGAGAGCCUCAAGUCAUGUGCGAGAAGCCCACUAAUAACCAUGGGUCCACCCUUGUAAUCAAUCUCUCACCUAAUUAAUCAUCCCGAAUCAGCUCUUCCCAUCUCCUGUGCCCGUUCGUGCUAAGGACCAAGGUCGUCAUGCCUGUCGUCGCCCCUGCUCUCUUCCACAGCACAUGUCCCUGACCUGCCCAUCUUCUGCAUCCCAGCCGGCGGCCGUCCAGGGAGGCAAGGACUGGCAGGUA
Hordeum vulgare subsp. vulgare (domesticated barley) is the source of this 2095-nucleotide long non-coding RNA. RefSeq lists it as uncharacterized. The record is from RefSeq and is a predicted model, not a curated record. The transcript is spliced from 2 exons. NCBI's taxonomy places the organism in Eukaryota, Viridiplantae, Streptophyta, Magnoliopsida, Poales, Poaceae.